Neopelma chrysocephalum (saffron-crested tyrant-manakin) is the source of this 367-nucleotide long non-coding RNA. RefSeq lists it as uncharacterized. Lineage: Eukaryota; Metazoa; Chordata; Aves; Passeriformes; Pipridae. The transcript has 4 exons. The record is from RefSeq and is a predicted model, not a curated record.
CAUUUUGUCUCUGAGGCGACCGCGGGAGGUUUUUAGGCUGCAAAAUGGUGCCUCUGCGGAAGCCGUUGAACCGUCACUGGGGGUCCCCACAGCCCUUGACGAGGGUUGGGGCAGCAGAAGAAGAAAACGUUGCGGGAUGAGGCGACUCAAAGUCACCCCCAGACCACCAUGAAUUAACCCCAAAAUGACCUAAACCCCCUCUGGGACCUCUCCCACAGGUCAGUGCCCCCCCAAAACCCCUCUAAGACCCCCCAAAUCCCCUCUAAGACCCCCCAAAACCCCCCCAAUCCGAAGCGAUGACACCCCGGGCUGGAGGAUGCGUCCGAUGGCAGCUCCGAGUUACCAAAGCCCUGAUCGGAUUUGGGGA